UCAGUGCUGGGAUCGUUACGGUUGAGAGGUCAGUAGGCCACGAUCGCAAUUGUAGGCCUGUCCAGGCAGAACCUGCGCCUGACAGACACGAAUCUAGCUAGUAAAGAGCACCAAAGGUUGCCUUGUAGCCUGCAGACGUUGAAAGGAACUUCGAGAAGGUCGUGACUUGCUGAAGAUUUGGUUGCGCUCAUUUCAUUGCCGAAAAGGCCGGCCGCUACGUUAUUGCUGAGGUGGGCUUGCAUCCACCUCACUGGAUAUGUUCCUCUGGUUGGGUAUAGGCGCGCAAGUAAAUAUUCGGAUCCUGGAUUCUGAUGAUCUGAUCAGUUGUUCGACCGAGCAUCAAUCCUUUGGAGCGGAAGCUGGCGAUUUAUAUCGCCAGCUUCCCAUAUCCCUUACCUGUGCUCCCAAACAUGGCAGGAUGGCAAAGAUCCCUGCAACAGAAGCGGGCAGCGUGCUGUUGAGAUCUUUCUUGUCGACAUUCAGCCCUUUUUCUGCCAUGAUUUAACACUGUACACCUGAACUUGCCUGCUGGCUGCAGCCCGUAGGAUCAACCCAGCAGGGCCUGAACUGGGCCGCUUGGAACUGCAGCUG
RNAcentral lists this long non-coding RNA (591 nucleotides) under Coccomyxa subellipsoidea. RNAcentral describes it as "long non-coding RNA (CSUB_LNC000479)". The record is from RNAcentral. Lineage: Eukaryota; Viridiplantae; Chlorophyta; Trebouxiophyceae; Coccomyxaceae.